This 327-nucleotide ribosomal RNA is filed under the name uncultured bacterium. RNAcentral's name for it is "bacterial SSU rRNA". It matches the Rfam family "Bacterial small subunit ribosomal RNA", at positions 28 to 355 of the family's 1533-position model. The record is from RNAcentral.
GACGAACGCUGGCGGCGUGCUUAACACAUGCAAGUCGAGCGGUAAGGCCCUUUCGGGGGUACACGAGCGGCGAACGGGUGAGUAACACGUGGGUGACCUGCCCUCAGCUCUGGGAUAAGCCUGGGAAACCGGGUCUAAUACCGGAUAUGACUCCAUGACGCAUGUUGUGGGGUGGAAAGCCUUGUGCGGCUGAGGAUGGGCCCGCGGCCUAUCAGCUUGUUGGUGGGGUGAUGGCCUACCAAGGCGACGACGGGUAGCCGGCCUGAGAGGGCGACCGGCCACACUGGGACUGAGACACGGCCCAGACUCCUACGGGAGGCAGCAGGU